RNAcentral lists this non-coding RNA (919 nucleotides) under Leiolepis belliana belliana. Lineage: Eukaryota; Metazoa; Chordata; Lepidosauria; Squamata; Agamidae. The record is from RNAcentral.
UAAAGUUAUGGUCCAGGACUUCCUGUUUAUUAUGACCAAAAUUAUACAUGCAACCAUCCACACUCUCAUGAAAAAGCCCAUAUACCACACCCAGACAAAUGGAGCAGGCAUCACGCAUAACUACCAGCCAAAAACACCUAAUAACAUCACACCUACAAGGGCACGCAGCAGUAAUCAACAUUAGGCCAUGGGCAAGCCACAGCCUGACCUAGUUACAGUCAAUUAGAAUGGGCCAAUCUUGUGCCAGCCACCACAGUUAUACUGAACACUCAAAACAACAGGCACCAGCAUAUACCGUGGCUAAAACUUGCAAGCCGUUGCCGGAAACAGCCAACACCGACAUGUAAAACAAGGGUCCAAUGGGAAACCCACCACUUAACACUCAAUGGAUUUUUGACCCACAAAAGUUAGGAUACAAACUAGGAUUAGACACCUUACUAUGCCCAACCAUAAACAUCGUCUGGCCAGAAAAAUACUAGCAAAAGCCAGAAUCUCAAGGGACUCGAAGGUGUUCUACACCCCCUAGAGGAGCCUGUCCUAUAACUGAUAACCCACGAUAAACCUCACCACUCCUAGAUCAUCAGCCUAUAUACCGCCGUUGUCAGUCUGCCUUUAAGAGCAGCGGACCUAACCGACCCUAAUUCAAAAACGACAGGUCAAGGUGUAGCUCAUGGAGGGGGAAGAGAUGGGCUACAUUACCACAACAUUGGUCAUAACGGAACAUGACAUGAAACAAGUCAUAACAAGGAGAAUUUAGCAGUAAAGGAAGUAAGAACGCUUCCUUGAACACAGCCCUGGAACGCGUACACACCGCCCGUCACCCCCAUCAACACCAACCAAAAAAUACAUAAUACCACACAAGAGACAAGAAGGGGUAAGUCGUAACAUGGUAAGCGUACCGGAAGGUGCGCUUGGAAGA